GAUGAACGCUGGCGGCGUGCUUAACACAUGCAAGUCGAACGAGACGAUUGAAAGCUUGCUUUUGAAAGUCGAGUGGCAAACGGGUGAGUAACGCGUAGACAACCUGCCGUAAAGAUGGGGACAACAGUUCAAAAGGACUGCUAAUACCGAAUGUUGUAGAGUUUCCGCAUGGGAAUCCUACUAAAGGUGGCCUCUACUUGUAAGCUAUCGCUUUACGAUGGGUUUGCGUUUGAUUAGCUAGUUGGUGGGGUAACGGCUUACCAAGGCGACGAUCAGUAGCCGGUUUGAGAGGAUGAACGGCCCCAUUGGAACUGAGACACGGUCCCGACUCCUACGGGAGGCAGCAGUGGGGAAUUUUCCGCAAUGGGCGCAAGCCCGACGGAGCAACGCCGCGUGAGUGAAGAAGGGUUUCGACUUGUAAAGCUCUGUUGUCGGGGACGAAUGUGGAGAUGGUGAAUAACCCUUUUCAAUGACGGUACCUGACGAGGAAGCCCCGGCUAACUACGUG
Molecule: ribosomal RNA, 508 nt
Filed under: uncultured bacterium
Lineage: Bacteria
Description: bacterial SSU rRNA
Rfam family: Bacterial small subunit ribosomal RNA
Source: RNAcentral